This is an RNA transcript of Heteronotia binoei (common prickly gecko), 6316 nucleotides long. It is a transcript of the gene named ATPase phospholipid transporting 11A, with no coding region annotated. NCBI's taxonomy places the organism in Eukaryota, Metazoa, Chordata, Lepidosauria, Squamata, Gekkonidae. The record is from RefSeq and is a predicted model, not a curated record. The transcript has 31 exons.
CUAGAGAGGGAAGGCAAGGCGCCCGCCCGCCUAGAAGAAGCCCCCCGACGAGGCGCGGGAUGGUGGCGCGGCGGCGAUGAGGCAGAAACUUCGGCGUGGAUGUAGGAAGUAGAAGUGUGACCGCGGCGAGGUAGGAAGAAGCCUCCCCCUGGCUGGAGCCUGCGCCCGGAGGAGAAGGAGCAGGCGGCGGCGGUGCAGGGGGAGGCUGAGCCGGAGCUGCCCUGCGCCUCGCCAUGGAUUGCAGCCGCCUCAGGACUCUUAUUAAUAGAUAUUGUGCUGGAGAAGAGAACUGGGUGGACAAUAGGACGAUAUAUAUUGGGCAUCGUGAACCCCCUCCAGGCACUGAAGCAUACAUUCCACAAAGGUAUCCAGAUAACAGAAUAGUAUCCUCAAAGUACACUUUUUGGAACUUUGUACCGAAGAAUUUAUUUGAGCAGUUCCGAAGAAUAGCAAACUUUUAUUUUCUUAUAAUUUUUCUUGUACAGUUAAUUAUUGAUACACCAACUAGUCCCGUGACAAGUGGGCUUCCACUUUUCUUUGUCAUCACUGUAACAGCUAUAAAACAGGGCUAUGAAGAUUGGCUUCGUCAUAAAGCUGACAAUGCAAUGAACCAAUGUCCUGUUCAUUUUAUUCGACAUGGCAAACUGGUUAGAAAACAGAGCCACAAGCUGAGGGUUGGAGAUAUUGUAAUGGUAAAAGAAGAUGAAACAUUUCCUUGUGACCUAAUACUUUUGUCAAGUAGCCGGGCAGAUGGAACAUGUUUUGUUACAACAGCAAGUUUGGAUGGGGAGUCCAGUCAUAAGACAUAUUAUGCUGUUCAAGAUACAAAGUCCUUUCAAAGUGAACAAGAUAUUGACACUUUGCAUGCUACUAUUGAAUGUGAACAACCUCAGCCUGAUCUAUAUAAAUUUGUUGGCCGAAUAAAUGUUUACCAUGACCAAAGUGAGCCUACUGCAAGGCCACUGGGAUCUGAAAAUCUGCUUCUUAGAGGAGCUACUUUAAAGAACACAGAGAAAAUCUUUGGUGUUGCUAUAUACACUGGCAUGGAAACCAAAAUGGCAUUGAACUACCAGUCAAAAUCUCAGAAACGAUCUGCUGUAGAAAAAUCCAUGAAUGUAUUUCUUAUCGUAUAUCUCUGCAUUCUGAUCAGUAAAUCACUAAUAAAUACCGUCCUGAAGUAUGUUUGGCAAAGUGAACCAUUUCGUGAUGAGCCGUGGUAUAAUCAGAAAACUGAACUGGAAAGGAAAAGAAAUGUGUUUAUUACAGCAUUUACAGAUUUUCUUGCCUUCAUGGUUCUUUUCAACUACAUCAUUCCUGUAUCCAUGUAUGUCACAGUAGAAAUGCAGAAGUUUCUUGGUUCUUAUUUUCUCACUUGGGAUGAAGAAAUGUUUGAUGAAGAAACAGGUGAAGGACCUCUUGUGAAUACUUCUGACCUUAAUGAAGAGUUAGGGCAGGUUGAAUAUGUCUUCACAGAUAAAACUGGGACAUUAACGGAGAACAAUAUGGAGUUCAUUGAAUGCUGUAUUGAGGGACAUGUUUACAUUCCUCACGUCAUCUGCAAUGGCCAAAUCCUCAAUGAUUGUUCUGGAAUUGAUAUGAUUGAUUCCUCCCCAGGAGGAAGUAGCAAAGAGAGGGAAGAGCUCUUUUUCCGGGCACUAUGUCUUUGUCACACUGUUCAAGUGAAGGAGGAUGACAAUGUGGACGGAUUAAAGAAAGCUCAGCUCUCAGGAAGAUCUUCAGUGUAUAUAUCCUCAUCCCCUGAUGAAGUUGCUUUAGUUGAAGGGAUUCAGAGACUUGGUUACACAUACUUAAGGCUGAAGGACAAUUUUAUGGAGAUCUUAAAUCGAGAAAAUGAUGUUGAAAAGUUUGAAUUGCUGGAGGUCCUUAGUUUUGAUUCAGUGAGGAGACGGAUGAGUGUAAUUGUUAAAUCAACAAAAGGUGAAAUAUUGCUAUUUUGUAAAGGAGCAGAUUCUUCUAUAUUUCCUAGAGUUACAGAAGGCAAAAUAGAACAGAUUCGAUCAAGAGUUGAACGAAAUGCUGUGGAGGGUCUGCGGACAUUGUGUGUUGCUUAUAAAAAGUUCACCUAUGAAGAAUAUGAGAGCGUGCAGAACUUUCUGCAGGAAGCAAAGCUGGCUCUGAGGGACAGGGAAAAGAAACUUGCAGAAGCUUAUGAGCAGAUAGAAAAAGGUCUUAUCCUGCUUGGUGCCACAGCAGUGGAAGACCGUCUACAGGAGAAAGCUGCUGAUACCAUUGACGCCCUACAAAAAGCCGGCAUUAAGGUGUGGGUUUUGACGGGAGACAAAAUGGAGACUGCCGCUGCAACAUGCUAUGCCUGUAAACUGUUCAGAAGGAACACUCAAAUUCUUGAACUGACUACAAAGAAAAUAGAAGAACAGAGUUUGCACGAUGUAUUGUUUGAGUUAAGCAAAACUGUCCUAAGACACAGCGGCAGCUUAACGAGAGAUACUUUCUCAGGGCUUUCAGCUGAGAUGCAAGAUUAUGGUUUAAUUAUUGAUGGAGCAGCAUUAUCAUUAAUAAUGAAGCCACGGGAAGAUGGGAGCUCUGGUAACUACAGAGAGCUCUUCCUUGAAAUAUGUAGGAACUGUAGUGCAGUUUUAUGCUGUCGUAUGGCUCCUCUGCAGAAAGCACAGAUUGUAAAAUUAAUUAAAUGGUCAAAAGAGCACCCCAUCACAUUAGCAAUUGGUGAUGGAGCAAAUGAUGUCAGUAUGAUCUUAGAAGCACACGUGGGCAUAGGCGUUAUUGGAAAAGAAGGCCGUCAAGCUGCAAGAAAUAGUGACUAUGCAAUACCCAAAUUUAAACAUUUGAAAAAAAUGUUGCUUGUUCAUGGGCAUUUUUAUUAUGUCAGGAUAUCUGAACUUGUGCAAUACUUCUUUUAUAAGAAUGUCUGCUUCAUUUUUCCUCAGUUUUUAUACCAAUUCUUCUGUGGGUUUUCACAGCAGCCUUUGUAUGAUACUGCGUAUCUUACCCUGUACAAUAUCAGCUUCACUUCCCUUCCUAUCCUGUUGUACAGUCUAAUGGAACAGCAUGUCAGUUCAGAAACACUCAAGAGAGACCCUUCACUGUACAGGGAUGUUGCCAAGAAUGCCCUGCUGCGCUGGCGUGUAUUUAUUUACUGGACAUUCUUGGGAGUAUUUGAUGCUGUGGUCUUUUUCUUUGGUGCCUAUUUCUUGUUUGACAACACAACCGUGACCACCAAUGGACAGCUAAUGACAGCCAACACUCACAUGAUGUUUGGAAACUGGACAUUUGGGACACUGGUGUUCACUGUACUAGUAUUUACAGUUACCCUGAAGCUUGCACUGGAUACACAUCACUGGACAUGGAUCAAUCACUUUGUGAUCUGGGGAUCACUACUGUUCUAUGUUGUAUUUUCCCUCCUCUGGGGAGGGAUUAUAUGGCCUUUUCUCAAUUAUCAGAGGAUGUACUACGUGUUCAUUCAAAUGCUGUCUAGUGGUCCUGCGUGGCUAGGUAUUAUAAUGCUCGUAACAGUAAGCCUUCUUCCAGAUGUAUUGAAGAAAGUUCUUUGCAGGCAUUUAUGGCCCACAGCAACAGAAAGAAUCCAGAAUGCAACAAGCUACGGUCAGAACCAUUUUUCAGAAUUCACACCUCUUGCCUCUCUAAAGGGUACAAGAUACAGGAGCAGUGACUGCAAGAAUUCCCAAGCAAGAAGGUCUAGUUCUCGUUCUAAAAAAACAAUGUUUACGCAUUGGAGAAACAAUGAUUAUUCAAUACUCCCAUCUAUCUUUAGCUAUUCCAAUAAACGCUGCAAUGCUGGUGUGAGGUACUACCAAAGGGGUUCAGGUUUGGAAACAUCUCUGUGACAGAUCACCAACUCAAGCCUUUAAGAACUACAGCUAUUCCCCACUCUCCUGAGCCUAGCAAAGAACCAUUUAAUAGCAUUGAUUGAGAUGUUGUUGGGUUUUACUGACUGGUGUAAUAACCUGGCAGAUUGGAUUAAGAGUGCUGAAUAUAAACCCUCCCAGGAAUAUUGGCCUUUUAAUGUUUUAAACUGCUGAAACUAUGGAUUCACCUACACAGUCUGGCACUGUGAGAAUCGACAGAACGAGAAUUUCACUCCAUUCUGUCAAAACGUCUGUGUGUGUAUUGCUUCUGUCAUCCCUUGUCCUUUAUUGUUUGAAGUGUGUUGCUUCAGUCAGUUAUCCACUUCAGAAAUCAAUGGUUGAACAUUUCCAGUCACUAGCACUGAUCAGAGAGCAUAGUAUCAGGUGCUGUUUCUGACUUGUCUUUGUCCUUUCUUUGUUCUUUCUGUAGAACAAACUGGUGUUUCCAUUGUGCAAAUCUGCUUUCAAGAAACACACUCUAAUAUCCAUUUUAUUCCUUAAAUAAGAAGACUCUUGCUUGUGGUUCUGAAAAUGCUGCAUUCUGCUUUACGUACUAGCUAAAGGGUUUAUUGCAAUCUUCUUACAUUUCAACUAUUCCCUAAACAGUGAAUAAUUGUUAACAGGCUGGGAUCUUUAAUGGUAGCUGUUGAUAUUUUUAAAGCCUUGUUUCUUUGUAUUACUUCAGGGGAAGAGAAAGAAAUAGAAUUUGGCAUUGAAAGGGGUAUAGUGGUUAAGAGUGUUGGACUCUUAUCUGAAAGACACAGGUUUGAAUACCCAUUUGUGCCAUGAAAGCUUACUGGGUGACCUUGAGUCAAUCAUGCAUACUCAGUCUAACCUACCUCACAGAGUUAUUGUGAGGAUGAAAUGGAAGAGUGGAGAAUAAGGCUGCUUUGGGUCUUCCCUGGGAGAAAGGUGGGAUACAAAUGAAAUAAAUAUACCUAAUUCCAUAAACAAUUGGAACUUUAAAAAUGUCCCCUGUAAAUGAAAAGAAAAGCUAUAUAGGUUUAUAUAACCUCUUCACUCCGAUCUUUCCUUUGUCCCCUUUCCAUUACAGAUUACAUUCAAGUGCAAUCUGUUGUAGUAGAAGUUGGACUUUAACCCAGAGAUCAUCAUAUGCAGUGGUAGAGUACACACAUUUUACUGUAUACAGGCAUCUUCACUGCCAAACAAAUGACUGAUACUGCAGAUUGGUCAGAUGGCAAUGAUGGUGCAUUAUAAUCUGGAUUUAUUUGCCCACAUUCAAACAAGUGAUUGAGGGUCUGAGCGGAUAAAACUGAUAAGUAAUGGGUUUGUGGUGCACUGAUGUGGUAGAAGUGGAGAAUUUUUCCUGCUUUUGUAGGGACUGGGUGUGAGGAGGGGAAUAACUCCAGAACAGUGAUCUGUGCUCAAUAACCCAUUUCUCUACAAAGGCUGUUCUUGCGCAGGGCAAUGAAUGGAUAGGUUCAACAACUGACUAGGAAUCAAAGGGUUAUAAUAAGAAUUUUUUUAAUCCAACAAAAAUUGAUAAAGGCAUUUAUAUGGAGAAAAAUUGAAACCUGUGUAACUUAAAUUGGCAUGUUUGAAAGGUUAAACCUUUAACAACAAAAUUUCUUAGAUGCAUUAAUAGAUUUGUUGAAACUUAUGGGUAUCAACCAAAUGAUCAUGAAGACUAAAAAUGUACUGUUCAUGCUUACAUCUUCUCGAAGAGUGGUUAGUAGUAAGAUUCCAUUAUUUUAAUUUGGGGGAGGUCUUGACUGAUCAUUAUUUUCUUCAGCUACUUAAUGUAAGAAGCCUACCAUUUAUCCUCCAGCUUGCAUCAGUCUAUCUAUCCCACUAUAUUGCAAGUAUCAAAGGAAGAAAACAGCACUAGUUUGUGAAAUUAAUGGGAUCAUGUUUAAAAAGCUUUACUGAAAAUCUGUCAAGGUAUUACAAGAGAGAAAAGUAUACUUGAUUGUAUUUGACACAACUGCACACAUCAGCUUACAUAGCUUUACCUUUGUCAAAAUUAUACUAAAUUUUAAUUGUACAUGGUGUCUAAAAAUUCUGUCAUGUGCUCUGUCAUUCUCAGUACUCCUUUAUUCUAUAAUGUAAAGUAGAAUCAGCAAAAAUGCUUUUGGAAAAUGGUGGGACAUAGUUAUCAGUGCAUUAACCAUUCAAAGUAUCUGUAGUCAUCAGCACUAAAUACCAACGUAUUUUUAAAUGGUACAAUGAUAGGUGCACUUAUCUGAUAAUUCAGCCUUCAGAUCUACUGUUUAGACUAAUCUAUUACACUUCAGUAAAUGGAUCAAAGCAGUCUCAAUAAGUAUAUGUACACUUGUGCAUUAAUGUAAAGUUUAUUUUCAGUGCUGUUUUUAAACUUUUGUUUCUGUAGAUACCUGAACAAGAAUUCUUUAUAUUCAUAUUUUGGACCUUUCUGUAGAUUGUAUAAAGGGGUAGAUGUUCAAAUCUGCUUGCAAUAAAAUAAAAUUUACAUA